AUACUUACCUGGCAGGGGUGGUACCAUGAUCAAGAUGGUGGUUCACCCAGGGUGAGGCUCAACCAUUGCAGUCGGUGUUGAGCUGACGUCUGCGAAUUCCCCAAAUGUGGGAAUCUCGACUGCAUAAUUUCUGGUAGUGGGGGACUGCGUUCGCGCUCUCCCCUG
Small nuclear RNA from Nothobranchius furzeri (turquoise killifish), 165 nucleotides. Its record names the gene U1. It matches the Rfam family "U1 spliceosomal RNA". Rfam says of the family: U1 is a small nuclear RNA (snRNA) component of the spliceosome (involved in pre-mRNA splicing). Its 5' end forms complementary base pairs with the 5' splice junction, thus defining the 5' donor site of an intron. The record is from Ensembl. NCBI's taxonomy places the organism in Eukaryota, Metazoa, Chordata, Actinopteri, Cyprinodontiformes, Nothobranchiidae.